ACAGGUGCUCAGUACAGAUGUCGCCCUCUGUUGGAGAGAAGUUGUGUAUAUGUGUCUCAUAGCCUUAGGCCUAGCUUGCGUCCUCAUCAUUCUUCUUCGGUUCAUCGUCGGCUUUCUCAUCUGGUUGGUACUUGUAUCGCUGAGUGUCACUAGUGUUGUGGGUACAGUAUAUGUUUGGUACAUGUGGCAGGAUAAGAAGAAACAGUUAAAGAACCUGCCAGCUGAUGAUCCGAGAAAGUCAAACAGAGAGAAUGACGUCACACACUGGUUGGUGGGA
This is a long non-coding RNA of Limulus polyphemus (Atlantic horseshoe crab), 277 nucleotides long. RefSeq lists it as uncharacterized. The record is from RefSeq and is a predicted model, not a curated record. NCBI's taxonomy places the organism in Eukaryota, Metazoa, Arthropoda, Merostomata, Xiphosura, Limulidae. The transcript is spliced from 3 exons.